CUGCUGCACGAUGCGCAAGUCCCACCAAAAUCCUCCAGGUUCCUCCAGCAGCCGGACAUCUGCACAGCUGGUGGAGUGUCGUCUCCGGGAGCGCGUCGUGGACCGGAUUAAAUAACAGUUUAACAAAAGAAAGAAUAAAAAAUAAGAAAGAAAUAAAGAAAAGGUCAGGGCGAUCCAUCAGAUAUGACCUCAGCCGCGUGGAUUCAUAACGCAGCCGCAACAUAAGUCAAAGACGCUUUUAGUGGAAACGACGAUGCGUCUCACAGCGGCGCUGUUCAUUCUGAUCGUGACGGGCAUCGCCAGAGGGUGGGAAUGCAGAGCAGGGUGCAAAACAGAAAAUGGAUUUUGUGAGAGACCAGGGAAGUGCAGGUGCAAACCAGGGUGGCAAGGAGAGAGCUGUGAGCAGUGCGUGCCCUUCCCUGGAUGUUUGCACGGCACCUGUGAGAAAGCGUGGCAGUGUAACUGCGAGGAGGGCUGGGUGGGUAGCCUGUGUGACCAAGACACCCGCCUUUGCUCAUCCAAGCCGUGCUCUGGAAAUGCCACCUGUGUUGAAACAGGGGAAGGGGGAUACCUGUGUGUCUGCCCCCACGGCUACAGCGGAGAGGACUGCCACCUGAACACAGCACGCUGUGCCACAAACAGCGCUCCUUGUCAGAACGGUGGUAUGUGUCUCGAUGGUACAGUGAACUCCUCCUGUGUUUGUGCUUCUGGAUUUUCUGGAGAAUUCUGUGAGAUCAGCAUUGACAGCUGCCAACCGAACCCCUGCCUCAACGGUGGUAACUGCACCAACCACGGCCUGGCCUUCACGUGCGCCUGUCUGCAUGGCUUCACUGGUUUCACUUGUAACGACACAGCUAGCCUGUCUCCCUGCACCGGCAGACCCUGUGCCAACGGGGGCACCUGUGUCGGUCAAACUGACGGAACCUUCCAGUGCAUUUGCCACAAAUGGUUUACAGGUCCCACGUGUUCUGUGUCUCAUAGACCGAAGUCCAAAACCAAAGCUGUUAGUGUCCUAGCGAGACCCGCGGAGCACCGAGUGUUCUCGCUGACCCCUCAGCACUACUCCCUCCCGGCACAUGCCUUCCACAAGCUCCUCAGACCCCCCGACAGAGACCUGCUGAAGAUCACCCUGAAGGAGACGGUCCAUUCCUCCGGCGUUCUGGUUACUCAUGGUCAGCUUAUCUGUUUUGGCAUGCUGGCCCUGCUCACCUGUCUGGUCAUCCUGGGUACGACGGGAAUCGUGUUCUUUGGGCGUUGUGAGACAUGGCUGGCCAACGCCAAGUACAGCCAGCUCGUACGGCAGCAAAGAGAACACCUGCUGAGAGAAACAGGAGGUGCCAACCAGGAAGAGCCGGCGCACUCAGUGAACAUCAUUUUGCCAGAAAAAAUAAGACUCACCAGCUUUGCGAAGCACUACACCUCAAUUUGACAACCCUGUCCUGAAUGUCCAAAAACACAGAAUUAAACACCCGGACUCUUGUACAAAGCAAGAACUGCAAUUUUAAAGUCUUACAGUCAAACAUUUUAAAGUUAACUUUUAACCCAUAUUUUAACACUGUGUUGAACCUUACACAUAGUUUAAGCUGUAGAGAGUUGAUAUGAUCAACUCUGAGAAAUAACUUCAACAAUUUGCAAGUUCGAACAGCGAGUAUUAACAAAAAGAGACUGUUGAGAAUUGAAAGUUAAAAUAAGAGUUUUUAAAAGAGUUGAAUCAACACCGAUAAGAGGAACUCAGAAACAAUUUCAACAGUGUACAAAGUUAAACAGUAAGAGUGUUAAAAUAAGAGUUUGUAGAGAAGUUGAAUCAACACUGAUAAGAUCAACUCUGAGAAACAAUUUCAACAAUGUACAAGGUUAAACAGUAAGAGUGUUAAAAUAAGAGUUUGUAGAGAGUUGA
RNA transcript from Thalassophryne amazonica, 1897 nucleotides. It is a transcript of the gene named protein delta homolog 1, with no coding region annotated. The transcript has 7 exons. Lineage: Eukaryota; Metazoa; Chordata; Actinopteri; Batrachoidiformes; Batrachoididae. The record is from RefSeq and is a predicted model, not a curated record.